UACGUAGGGUGCAAGCGUUGUCCGGAAUUAUUGGGCGUAAAGAGCUCGUAGGCGGCCUGUCGCGUCGGCUGUGAAAACCCGGGGCUCAACCCCGGGCCUGCAGUCGAUACGGGCAGGCUAGAGUCCGGCAGGGGAGACUGGAAUUCCUGGUGUAGCGGUGAAAUGCGUUGAUAUCAUCAGGAACACCGGUGGCGAAGGCGGCUUUCUGGGUCUUACCUGACGCUGAGGAACGAAAGCCAGGGGAGCGAACGGG
Molecule: ribosomal RNA, 253 nt
Filed under: uncultured bacterium
Lineage: Bacteria
Description: partial 16S ribosomal RNA
Rfam family: Bacterial small subunit ribosomal RNA
Source: RNAcentral